This 501-nucleotide ribosomal RNA is filed under the name uncultured bacterium. Its description in RNAcentral is "partial 16S ribosomal RNA". It matches the Rfam family "Bacterial small subunit ribosomal RNA", at positions 30 to 523 of the family's 1533-position model. The record is from RNAcentral.
AUUGAACGCUGGCGGUAGGCUUAACACAUGCAAGUCGAGCGGAGAUGAGGUGCUUGCACCUUAUCUUAGCGGCGGACGGGUGAGUAAUGCUUAGGAAUCUGCCUAUUAGUGGGGGACAACAUUCCGAAAGGAAUGCUAAUACCGCAUACGUCCUACGGGAGAAAGCAGGGGAUCUUCGGACCUUGCGCUAAUAGAUGAGCCUAAGUCGGAUUAGCUAGUUGGUGGGGUAAAGGCCUACCAAGGCGACGAUCUGUAGCGGGUCUGAGAGGAUGAUCCGCCAAACUGGGACUGAGACACGGCCCAGACUCCUACGGGAGGCAGCAGUGGGGAAUAUUGGACAAUGGGGGGAACCCUGAUCCAGCCAUGCCGCGUGUGUGAAGAAGGCCUUAUGGUUGUAAAGCACUUUAAGCGAGGAGGAGGCUACUGAGACUAAUACUCUUGGAUAGUGGACGUUACUCGCAGAAUAAGCACCGGCUAACUCUGUGCCAGCAGCCGCAGUAA